This 66-nucleotide transfer RNA is filed under the name Calohilara tibetensis. Its description in RNAcentral is "tRNA-Trp". Lineage: Eukaryota; Metazoa; Arthropoda; Insecta; Diptera; Empididae. The record is from RNAcentral.
AAGAUUUUAAGUUAAUUAAACUAAUAACCUUCAAAGUUAUAAAUAAAAUAAUAUUUUUAAAUCUUA